Molecule: long non-coding RNA, 1436 nt
Organism: Herpailurus yagouaroundi (jaguarundi)
Lineage: Eukaryota; Metazoa; Chordata; Mammalia; Carnivora; Felidae
Exons: 2
Source: RefSeq, a predicted model, not a curated record
GUAGACACUGCAUGAUUUCAAGUAUCAGUGUCCAUUCUAACAGUAGGUAUCACAGGAGGAAAAAUUAAUAGACAAACAAGAAUUUUGAUAUUUCCCUCCUCUCCCACCUCAAACCAGAUGCUACAGAUAAGCCAGCUCCUUGGCUGAUAGCCAGCCCUGCUGAUUUCUGGCAUUCACCUCCUUCUUCUUAGCUCUGUUUCGCCCCCUCAUACAGUUCUGCUCCCAGGAGUCCGCCAGAAACAGUGGGUGAGGGAAAAGGAUUAGCAAAGAGAAAAAUGAAGAAACUACCACUUUUAUUAGGAAGUAGUGCCCUGUUUCAGAUUGGCAUUUGCCUGAAAAUAGACCAUUCAGUCGUGCAGACAAUAAUAAAUUAUAUGUAAACACCAAACACCCACGCACAUUUUUUGAACAUGUAAAUAUUCGUGUGACCCAUGUGGAUUUGGAGAUGGUGUGACAACACCCUAAGUACAGCUUAAUGGUUAAGAACUAGGGAUUGAGCACAAGCUCUACUGAUUACUAGCUACCCGACCUCAGGCAAGCUACAUGACCUUUUCUAUUAUUCAGUUUCCUCCUCUAUAAAAUGGGAAUAACAUAGUAUUCACCUCACGGACCAGUGGUGAGGAUUGAGUGAAACACUAUAGACUCUCCUUUACAGCAGCCUGGAAGGAAACAGUGACCCUAGUAAGACCCUUUUUCUUCUCUGCUUUCCUCUCUCCUUGUCAAAGACUUAUCUUCCCCUCUCCCACAGGAGCACCUGAUUCAAUGCAGACUUCCUCCUUCAAGGCAUUUAGCCCAAAGGACUUGCCCUCCCCUCCUUGUACGGGGGGAGCUAUGUUCUUGGCUUGGAGACAGAUUCUUAAAUUGUCUUCUGCAGUUGCAAGUGACUCAGCGUUGCUUAGAGAUUUAAUUAACCAGCAAUAGGAGGCUUAAAAGAAGCAAACCUCUGGGGACUUUUGCUCUUCUUUGGUUGGCUGUGAGCAGAGGGAGAAUGGAACAAAAAGGAACCUUCCAGAACUUCACUGUCCAAUACGGUAGCCACAGUAGCUAUUGGGCACUUGAAAUGUGAUUGUCCAAAUCAAGAUGUGCUGUAAGCAUAAAAUACGUACCAGAUUUUGAAGAUUUGUAUGAAACAAGAAGGGAAGAGGUCAUGUAAGCACACACUAAGAUGGAGGUAAACUACAAACCAAGAGAAGAGGCCUCAGAUCGAAACCUACCCUGUCAGCACCUUGAUCUUGGACUUCAGCCUCUGGAACCACGAGAAAUGAAUUUCUGAUGUUUAAGACACUGGUUUAUGGUGUUUGUUAUGGUGGCUCAAACAGACUAAGACAAACACUAUACCACAUCCUCCUGCUCAGCACAGAAUUGUAGGGAAUGGGUGUGUAAAUGUCUAGGCCACGAUAAACACUAAACACUACAAUGAAUGCUGAAAUAAUACA